CCUACGGGGGGCAGCAGUGGGGAAUAUUGGACAAUGGGCGAAAGCCUGAUCCAGCCAUGCCGCGUGUGUGAAGAAGGCCUUCGGGUUGUAAAGCACUUUCAGUGGGGAAGAAAGCCUUGGGGCUAAUACCCUCGAGGAAGGACAUCACCCACAGAAGAAGCACCGGCUAACUCCGUGCCAGCAGCCGCGGUAAUACGGAGGGUGCGAGCGUUAAUCGGAAUUACUGGGCGUAAAGCGCGCGUAGGCGGUCUGAUAAGCCGGUUGUGAAAGCCCCAGGCUCAACCUGGGAACGGCAUCCGGAACUGUCAGGCUAGAGUGCAGGAGAGGAAGGUAGAAUUCCCGGUGUAGCGGUGAAAUGCGUAGAGAUCGGGAGGAAUACCAGUGGCGAAGGCGGCCUUCUGGACUGACACUGACGCUGAGGUGCGAAAGCGUGGGUAGCAAACAGGAUUAGAUACCCCAGUAGUC
Molecule: ribosomal RNA, 465 nt
Filed under: Vreelandella stevensii
Lineage: Bacteria; Pseudomonadati; Pseudomonadota; Gammaproteobacteria; Oceanospirillales; Halomonadaceae
Description: partial 16S ribosomal RNA
Rfam family: Bacterial small subunit ribosomal RNA
Source: RNAcentral